CUUGCUAGUUGCUGACGAGUGGCGGACGGGUGAGUAACGCGUAGGAAUCUACCGAGUAGUGGGGGACAACAGUUGGAAACGACUGCUAAUACCGCAUAAUCCCUGAGGGGGAAAGGAGGGGAUCUGUUUACAGACCUUUCGCUAUUUGAUGAGCCUGCGUGAGAUUAGCUAGUUGGUGAGGUAAUGGCUCACCAAGGCGACGAUCUCUAGCUGGUCUGAGAGGAUGAUCAGCCACACUGGAACUGAGACACGGCCCAAACUCCUACGGGAGGCAGCAGUGGGGAAUCUUGCACAAUGGGGGAAACCCUGAUGCAGCGAUGCCGCGU
RNAcentral lists this ribosomal RNA (326 nucleotides) under uncultured Gammaproteobacteria bacterium. Its description in RNAcentral is "bacterial SSU rRNA". It matches the Rfam family "Bacterial small subunit ribosomal RNA", at positions 77 to 402 of the family's 1533-position model. Lineage: Bacteria; Pseudomonadati; Pseudomonadota; Gammaproteobacteria. The record is from RNAcentral.